Molecule: ribosomal RNA, 497 nt
Filed under: uncultured bacterium
Lineage: Bacteria
Description: partial 16S ribosomal RNA
Rfam family: Bacterial small subunit ribosomal RNA
Source: RNAcentral
GAUGAACGCUGGCGGCGUGCCUAAUACAUGCAAGUCGAGCGAACAGAUAAGGAGCUUGCUCCUUUGACGUUAGCGGCGGACGGGUGAGUAACACGUGGGUAACCUACCUAUAAGACUGGGAUAACUUCGGGAGACCGGAGCUAAUACCGGAUAAUAUGUCGAACCGCAUGGUUCUAUAGUGCAAGAUGGUUUUGCUGUCACUUAUAGAUGGACCCGCGCCGUAUUAGCUAGUUGGUAAGGUAACGGCUUACCAAGGCGACGAUACGUAGCCGACCUGAGAGGGUGAUCGGCCACACUGGAACUGAGACACGGUCCAGACUCCUACGGGAGGCAGCAGUAGGGAAUCUUCCGCAAUGGGCGAAAGCCUGACGGAGCAACGCCGCGUGAGUGAUGAAGGUCUUCGGAUCGUAAAACUCUGUUAUUAGGGAAGAACAUACGUGUAAGUAACUGUGCACGUCUUGACGGUACCUAAUCAGAAAGCCACGGCUAACUACGUG